Molecule: long non-coding RNA, 3827 nt
Organism: Prionailurus viverrinus (fishing cat)
Lineage: Eukaryota; Metazoa; Chordata; Mammalia; Carnivora; Felidae
Exons: 8
Source: RefSeq, a predicted model, not a curated record
UCCAGGCUCUGAGCUGUCAGCCCAGAGCCUGACGUGGACUUGAACCCACGAAUCCAUGACCCAAGCCGAUGUCAGACGCUUAACCGACUGAGCCACCCAGGAGCCCCCAUUUUCACAGUGUUUUUAUUCAUGCCAGCUUCUGGCUGGUCAUCACAUUCCUGAAAAAAAUUCUACAAAACAGAGCGUGGUUGACUAUUUCUUUUGGAUCAUCUGAACAAAGUAUUCCUAUUAAUUAAUACAGCAUAAGACUAGGUUAGAUCCUCAAAGAUGUUCACAUGAAUUUUGUAAUACAAAAAUCCCUAGAUUUAAUCUUUGUGCUAAAAUAGAUUCUUUUUAUCCAGUUUUUGUUUGAAUUUCUGAACCAAAAUGUAGGGCUUCAGAUUUAACUUUGUGAAAAUUAAUGUUGCCAAUACAUUUUAGCACUCUCUGUAAGAUGGAGAUACUUUACAUUAUUUAAAGAAAGAUCACUUUAAAUCUUGUUGUAUUAUAUAAUAUAUGUAUUUCUCCAUCUCCUCUUAUUUGCACAUUCAGCUCAGUUAUUUUAAAAUAAAUUUGUGUCAAAGAUACACAACAAAAUGAAUAUGCUCAGAAACUCUACAGUUGAGACUUCUCAUCAAGUUUAUACUCUGGCAUUAAUUCACAUUAAUUGAAUAUAGUUUUGAAUAUAAGUCCAAUUAAAUAUAUUAUUAUUCAGCCCAUGUUUUAUUCAGAGGUAUGAUUGGAAACUUUAUCGCUUCCUUUCUAAAAGAUAAUAAUAUCUGAAUAGCCAUCUCAAACAUAAAAUGACCCUAUUCAAUAGUUUUAGACAUGUUAGUUUUAUUUUCUGGAAGUUUGUUGGACUUUCUUUUUCCACCAAAAUGUAAAGUCUUUAUAAGAAAUGUGUUAGUUAACACAGAUCCUUUAGAAAGGAGGGCCUGAGGAGCAGUCAAAGUGUUGCUGCCUAAAGAGGUACAAGCAUGUGUGUGUGGUAAGAUAAAGAGAAAAAAGGAACUGAGGAAAGGAACAGAGUGAGUGGAACAGAGCCAGUAGGUUUCUCAGUGGGCAUGUUUGCUUAAUAUUUAGUACUUCCCAGAAGAUUGUAAGGAGUAAUCCCACCUCAGUGCAUGGAAGAGAGCUAAAAGGGGGAAAUAUAUCUGCCUUGGUCUGUGUUAUCUCCUGCUUUGUAUCAGUCAAGAUUCACCCACACUUACUCCCCAUAUCCCACCAGCUCAACUACCUUGUCCUUCCAACUUUGUUCUCCCCUGGUAUAUCUGUGCCUGUCAGUACAUAGUUAGGAGGCAGCAAAUCUCAAACCUGGAAUUAAACCACAUGUAUUAGUCGGCUUAGGUUGCCAUAACAAAUGUUUAGGUUACCCAAAGUUCUGGAGGCUGGAAAGUCCAAGGUCAGAGUGCCAACCUGGUCAGGUGGUGGUGACAGCUCUCUUGCUGGCAUGCAGAUAGCUACCUUCUUGCUGUGUCCUCACAUGGUAGCGGAAGAGACAGAGUCUGAAGUCUCUUCUUCAAAGGGUGCUAAUCUCAUGCUGAAGAUCCCACCCUCAGGGGUUCAAUAUGUGGGGACACAAUUCAUUCUAUAGCACCCUCCCCCUCAAAUUCAUGUCCUUCUUACAUGAAAAAUACAUUCAUUCCAUCUCAACAGCUCCAACACUUUUAGUUCAUUCUAUUAUCAACUCUAAAGUCUAUUAGAGUCCAAAGUCUUAUCUGAGUGUCUUUUAAAGCAGAUAUGGGUGAGAUUCAAGAUUCAACUAAUGCUGAGGCAAAAUUCUAAUCUAACUGUGAACCUGUGAAACCAGACAAGUGAUAUGCUUUCAAAACACAAUGAUAUUCCUAUUCCAAGAGGUAGAAAUGGGGAGGAGAAAAGAGGCAACAGGCCCCAAGCAAGUCCAAGACCUAACAAGGCAAAUUAUAUUAGAUCUCAAGGCUGGAGAAAAUCCUCUGGUUGGAUGUUCUGUUGUCUACACCCAGUAGGGUGACAGCAUACCCAUCCCGCCAUCACCACCAUGGCCCUUUGGGGCAGCCCUGUCCCUUUUGGUCAAUAUUGGGCAGAAAACAAUAGAAAUACAACACAUUGCUAAUGUGUAAAUUAAUAUAAUCUUUCCAGAGAACAACUUUGCAAUGCAAACCAAAAGCCAUAAAAUUUUGCAUAUCUUCUGGAGCAGUGACUUCAAGUGUAGCUAUUUAUAGUAACAAUAUUUCUAUAGUUGCAUAAAAUAUUAUAAUACAAGAAUGUUUAUCACAAUAAUUAUAUUAAAAUGAAACAUGUGGAAACCCCAAAUGUCAACAGAGAUUGAUGUAGUUACUCAGUAGCCUAAUGUGCAGACAAAAAGAAUGACAAUUAACAUCUUACUCAGACUAUUUAAUGUCAUAUAAGGAAUCCAAUGUAUAAUAUAUAAAUGAAGCAGGUUAUCAAACAACAUGUGAAAUUGUGGUAGAUGCUGUGUGUGUCACAGCCAUGUACCUUCACCCUCACUAUUUCAGUCUAUGCUUGCUCGACUUCUAAUUGCUGGAUUCUACUUCUGUUUGCCUGAGUUUUCUUUGUCCAGGUGCUUAGCAGGCCAGAAUGCUAAAGAAUAAUGCUCCUGGAUGUGUAAUUGCCCAAUAAUUGAUGGAGUUCAUGUACAAAUAGCCCAGGUCACACACUCUUUUGCUGAAGUGACUUUGAGAACAGUGCUCCAUACUGACUCCCAGAGUUCCUCAUUGGGAUCAGAUCCAAGAAUCCACAGUGAUGACUUCCCAGCUGGAAUGGAGAUUUCAUGGGCCAUGUGCAUGAAUGAUCUCACUGAUGGCAAAGCAACAAAAUCAAGGGUCUGUGGCCAUCAGUGAGAUGGCUCAGUAGCAAGUUCAGCUUAUGUCUGAAUUUUGGAAAGCGUUCUCUGACUCUUUGAAUCUGUGCUGGCUGAUAACUCCAAGAAGCAGCUCUGGUCAUUUGAAUCAGCUGGUGGUGUUGGAAAUGUCCAUAUACUGGAUAUGUGAAGUGGAUGAAGCCAAAAAUUUUCAAGGGAACCCACAGAGAGCAGCUAUUGUGAUGUGUCACAGUGUCCUCUGAUCUAAGCUUCAGGAAAUCUGGCUCAUUGUUCAUGUUUCUGGACUCACAGUCAAAUGCCCUAGCGAGCCAUGUAUCUUCUUUAUCUCUGCCUCAGCAUUCGGCCUGCCUAGACUCUGAAGCUUUUGGAGUGAGGAGAUAACAGGAGGAUGCUGUCCAUUCCAGUCCAUUCCAGCUGGUCCCUGAUAUUGACGUGGGUGCUGUUUUGGCCUCAAUCCUGCCCUCUGCCUGUAUUCACUGAGUGGGAUUUCCCCACCAGAAGCCUUCGCAUUCUCUGAGUCAUUUGGACUUGGACUUACUUGUCCAGAAGUUUUAGUUCCUGGAGAACUUGAGAAGGACUCCUUCUCCAGUUGUUGGACUUUAUUCCCCCUGCUGCUGCUCCACACCACCACAGCUUAUUCAGUCACUGGACAGUUCUUGGUGAAGAAUGAUACUCCUUAUUGCAGCGUGCCCCUUCUGCCUUGGCAAAGACCCAGCACAUUCUUCCACCUGAUGGUUUGAUGAAAAACCAAGGUUCAAUAAGAAGCCUUUGUCUUGGGGAAACUGAAUUUUCCUGCUGAGAUGGUAGACCAUACUUGGUUCUGUUUCCAGUUCGAAAUAGUGCCAUAUUUAUCAAACAACACUUUGAAGUAUCAUUUGAGAAAUUUAUGGGAUCUUCACUUUUCUUAUUUGUAAAUGAUGUAGUAUUUAAUAUAUCCAAAUGAAUUUAUACAAAUAAAUGCACAUUAUAAAGCAUAAUAAUUUGGAAUACAAAUAUAAUGGGAAAUCUCAUUUUAAUUUUUAUCCAU